GGGUUCCCUGUACGUACCCCUUUCCCUCCAGCACUGGAGCCCGAGUCUCCCGCUGAGCAGGCACCUCUCCCUCCACGCCCAGGCUUCUUAAACCAACCCCUCCUCCCCUUGUCAUUCAUGAACCAGAUGCAGAAACUGAGGCUCAGAAGCGUUCGGCCACGUGCAUGCAUUGCCUUUCCCAUUGGUGCUCCAUCGCCAGUAAUGGAUAAGUAAUAAGUAAUAAGGUGCAUUGGAAAUUCAAAUUUCAGAAUAAGCUGACUGCCAAGAGGGCCCUCCCCCUGUCGGGAGUCCCUUAGUCCAUGGGAAAUUCACAGAGAAGGAAACAGUCACUUUUCCUGCACCUGAGAAGGCUGGAGUGCAGUGGCGCGGUCUUGGCUCACUGCAACCUCUGCCUGCCGGGUUCAAGUGAUUCUCCUGCCUCAGCCACCUGUGAGCCACCGUGCCAGCCAGCCUCAGUGAUUUCUUAGGAGCCUGUUGUAUGCAAUCUUGAGGGCUGAAGAAGUGAGAGGGACCCACCCCAUCCUACCUCUACAGAAUGCUUGGCACCCCCACCAAUGUUCCUAGACUCCAUCUCAGGACCAAGGUGAUUCUGACUCUCCUGGAACCUGAGAACCACCAGUCUACGGGAACAGAGCCCUGCUUUGGGUCAGACGGGGUUUCGCCGGGCUGGUCUCCGCUCCUGACCGCGAGUGAUCCGCCGGCCUCGGCCUCCCGAGGUGCCGGGAUUGCAGAUGGAGUCUCGUUCACUCGGUGCUCAAUGGUGCCCAGGCUGGAGUGCAGUGGCGUGAUCUCGGCUCGCUACAACCACCUCCCAGCCGCCUGCCUUGGCCUCCCGAAGAGCCGAGAUUGCAGCCUCUGCCCGGCCGCCACCCCGUCUGGGAAGUGAGGAGCGUCUCUGCUUGGCCGCCCAUCGUCUGGGAUAUGAGGAGCCCCUCUGCCUGGCUGCCCAGUCUGGAGGGUGAGGAGUGUCUCUGCCCGGCCGCCAUCCCAUCUAGGAAGCGAGGAGCGCCUCUUCCCCGCCGCCAUCCCAUCUAGGAAGUGAGGAGCGUCUCUGCCCGGCCGCCCAUCGUCUGAGAUGUGGGGAGCGCCUCUGCCCCGCCGCCCUGUCUGGGAUGUGAGGAGCGCCUCUGCUGGGCCGCAACCCUGUCUGGGAGGUGAGGAGCGUCUCUGCCCGGCCGCUCCGUCUGAGAAGUGAGGAAACCCUCUGCCUGGCAACCGCCCCGUCUGAGAAGUGAGGAGCCCCUCCGUCCGGCAACCACCCUGUCUGGGAAAGGACUUCAAGGCACACUCAAGUUGGAGACCACAGGGCUUCAUUCUGUGUCCUCAUGUAACUCUUAAGAAAAUCAGGAGUCCAUUCCGAACCCUUGGGUGAACUGAAGGCUCUGGGCAGCCCUCCCUGAGGAGGUAGCCCUGUCCCCAGGGCCCUGGAUGGUGAGGAUGACCCAGCCUUCGUAACCCUGCCCUCACACACAGCGCUCACUCCAAAGCUUGCUGGAAUCAUCUGAGGCUACCAGUGUCUACAGCACAUCGAGCUACCCUUAUGGAGCCUGGGACCAGCCCCAGGAAGCCAAUCUCAGCUCAGGAGCCAGGAUUUUAGUGCAAAGCUGCGCCCCCUUCUGUAAACCAUGGUUCUCCUGAGAAACAGCUCAUGCCUUUGCCUGGGAACAGAUGGUUCCGCAGCAGCCAGCCCCAGCCUGAAAUGAGUUGCGGAGGCACUGCUGCCUGUCUCCACCAGCAAGAGGGAGGAGAGGCCCUUCCCGUGCCUGCAGCAGUCCAGGGUAGAUGCAAGCAGAAAGACUGGUGAAGACUGGAGCUCCUGGGCAGAAGCACUGACAGGCACGUGGGGUCCUGUAUGAAGAGCUGCACUUUGUGUGAAAGGAAAGGUGGCCCAAGGUCUGGCUCUACUUCAGCCGGGGCAGUGGCUGGUGGUCUUGCCGGGUGGGCCAGUCUUGGGAGGGGGUGAUGGGGAAGUUGGUGAAACAGAGGCACUGGGUCAGCAACUAUGUGGUGGGACUCUCAGAAACGGCCCAGAUUACAAGAGAAUGCUUGACCCGAGUGACUGUUUACCAAAGCCCUCCCCCUCAAAAGAGGCUUUUAACAGUCAGGUGACACCUGUGGGUGUCACCAUCUUCCCUUUCUCUAUUAUUAGGACCUGGACAAAAUUCAAGAAGAUGUCCCAACCACAUGUAGCCUUACCUUUGAUACUUCCAAUUGCAAUGAGACUUAAAUUUUAGAAUAAGAGAUACACGCUGGGCGCGGUGGCUCACGUCUGUAAUCCCAGCACUUUGGUAGGCCAAGGCCGGUGGAUCACCUGAGGUCAGGAGUUUGAGACCAGCCUGGCUAACAUGGCAAAACCCCGUGUCUAGUAAAAAUACAAAAAUUAGCCGAGCGUGGUAGUGCACGCCUGUAAUCCCAGCUACUCAGGAGGUGGAUGCAGGAGAAUCGCUUGAACUCGGGAGGCGGAGGUUGCAGUGAGCCGAGAUUGCACCACUGCACUCCAGCCUGGGUGACAGAGCAAGACUUUCUCAAAAAAAUAAAAAAAUAAAAUAAUAAUAAUAAAAAGAGGAUACAGACCAUUUACAGGGUUUUUCCUGGUCCAUUAUCCUGCUCUAAUAAUGCCAAUCAACAUGUGAUCAUUAUUCCCUGGGGACAGAACUAGUCACCACUAGUUUGUGACUCUACCUCAUUUGAGGUGGCAUCCAGGGUGACAUCCCAGACUUCCUUACCUUACUUGAAGCACGAUGAGCCUUAAUUUUCGAAUAGAAAUGUUGACCAGCAAGCCAGCUUUUUUUUUUUUUUUUCCAGGACAAGGAUAAAUUCCCUUAAGAAUUUUGCAAACAUCACAUGUUUUCUUUCCCCUUGUUGCAAUAUAUGUAAUUUAUCUCCUGGUGUAACUUGCUUAAUAGUUACCGUUUGUUAAUUCCAUCUGCUUCCCAAGAGGAGAACAUACUGUUACGUGGUGAAGUCCUGGGUUCUGUGAGUCUCCCAUAAGCCACAGCUGGUCAAGAAACGAAUCAAUGGGGCCACGAACAAAGUGGCCAUGGAAGCAGGUAUGGGUGAAGGCAUGAGGGCAGGCACGGGGGCAGGCAAGGGGGCAGGCAAGGGGGCAGGCACGGAGGCAGGUAUGGAGGCAGGCACGGAGGCAGGUAUGGGGGCAGGCAUGGGGGCAGGCAUGGGGGCAGGCAUGGAGGCAGGUAUGGGGGCAGGCACGGAGGCAGGUAUGGGGGCAGGCACGGAGGCAGGCAUGGAGGCAGGCAUGGGGGGCAGGCAUGGAGGCAGGUAUGGAGGCAGGUAUGGGGGCAGGCAUGGGGGCAGGUAAGGAGGCAGGCAUGGAGGCAGGUAAGGAGGCAGGCAUGGGGGCAGGUAUGGGGGCAGGCAUGGAGGUUUUGCCCAGCUUCUCCAGUACGACCUUCCCUCACCAAAGCCAACCUGGUUGCCAUCACCUCUGAGUGGCCACACCUGAGCCCUUGUGGCUCAGCCAGCCAGCUGGUGACUGCCUGGUUACACAAACAUUUUCCUUCAUGGAAGACAGCAAUUUGUCCUCCUUCGAUGGAUCCUUGUUGUCGAGCUGGACUUGCGUUUCCAUCCUCCCUCUGCACUUCCAAUCAGGGUCUCACUGAAGGGCACCUGUUGGGUGUCCUACAGGACAUUGCCUCCUGCCGAGAAGCUCAUGCUUCUGUGAAGGCUGCAGAGGUGUGAAACAGUGGGCCAGGCCAGACACAGUGGCUCUCGCCUAUAAUCCCAGCACUUUGGGAGGCUGAGGCAGGUGGAUCACCUGAGGUCCGAGGUUCAAGAUCAGCCUGGCCAACAUGGUGAAACCCCAUCUCUACUAAAAAUAUAAAAAUUAGCUGGGCAUGGUGGCAGGUGCCUGUAGUCCCAGCUACUCAGGAGGCUGAGGCAGAAGAAUCACUUGAACCUGGGAGGUGGAGGCUGCAGUGAGCCGAGAUCAUGCCACUGCACUCCAGCCUGGGCAACAGAGUGAGACUCCAUCUCAAAAACAUAAAGAACAAAAAAACCAACAACAA
RNAcentral lists this long non-coding RNA (4025 nucleotides) under Homo sapiens (human). Its description in RNAcentral is "HSALNT0003706". Lineage: Eukaryota; Metazoa; Chordata; Mammalia; Primates; Hominidae. The record is from RNAcentral.